RNAcentral lists this ribosomal RNA (253 nucleotides) under uncultured bacterium. Its description in RNAcentral is "partial 16S ribosomal RNA". It matches the Rfam family "Bacterial small subunit ribosomal RNA", at positions 524 to 776 of the family's 1533-position model. The record is from RNAcentral.
UACGUAGGAUGCAAGCGUUGUCCGGAAUUAUUGGGCGUAAAGAGCGCGCAGGCGGUAUGACAAGUCAGAUGUGAAAGAGGCCGGCUUAACCGGCAAGGGUCAUUUGAAACUGUCAGACUAGAGUGCAGCAGAGGAUAGUGGAAUUCCCGGUGUAGUGGUGAAAUGCGUAGAUAUCGGGAGGAACACCGGUGGCGAAGGCGGGUCUCUGGGCCGAUACUGACGCUGAGGAGCGAAAGCGUGGGGAGCGAACAGG